GUGAGCAUAGUUUACAAAAAAAUUCUAGCCUGUGGAGCUAGAGACGGGAACUAACAUCCCCUGCCCACC
This 69-nucleotide transfer RNA is filed under the name Eleutherodactylus atkinsi (Atkin's robber frog). RNAcentral describes it as "tRNA-His". Lineage: Eukaryota; Metazoa; Chordata; Amphibia; Anura; Eleutherodactylidae. The record is from RNAcentral.